Molecule: ribosomal RNA, 465 nt
Filed under: Vreelandella stevensii
Lineage: Bacteria; Pseudomonadati; Pseudomonadota; Gammaproteobacteria; Oceanospirillales; Halomonadaceae
Description: partial 16S ribosomal RNA
Rfam family: Bacterial small subunit ribosomal RNA
Source: RNAcentral
CCUACGGGGGGCUGCAGUGGGGAAUAUUGGACAAUGGGGGCAACCCUGAUCCAGCCAUGCCGCGUGUGUGAAGAAGGCCCUCGGGUUGUAAAGCACUUUCAGUGAGGAAGAACGCCUGGUGGUUAAUACCCAUCAGGAAAGACAUCACUCACAGAAGAAGCACCGGCUAACUCCGUGCCAGCAGCCGCGGUAAUACGGAGGGUGCGAGCGUUAAUCGGAAUUACUGAGCGUAAAGCGCGCGUAGGUGGCUUGAUAAGCCGGUUGUGAAAGCCCCGGGCUCAACCUGGGAACGGCAUCCGGAACUGUCAAGCUAGAGUGCAGGAGAGGAAGGUAGAAUUCCCGGUGUAGCGGUGAAAUGCGUAGAGAUCGGGAGGAAUACCAGUGGCGAAGGCGGCCUUCUGGACUGACACUGACACUGAGGUGCGAAAGCGUGGGUAGCAAACAGGAUUAGAUACCCUGGUAGUC